RNAcentral lists this ribosomal RNA (756 nucleotides) under uncultured bacterium. RNAcentral describes it as "bacterial SSU rRNA". It matches the Rfam family "Bacterial small subunit ribosomal RNA", at positions 56 to 785 of the family's 1533-position model. The record is from RNAcentral.
UGCAGUCGACGGUAGCACAGAGGAGCUUGCUCCUUGGGUGACGAGUGGCGGACGGGUGAGUAAUGUCUGGGAAACUGCCCGAUGGAGGGGGAUAACUACUGGAAACGGUAGCUAAUACCGCAUAACGUCGCAAGACCAAAGAGGGGGACCUUCGGGCCUCUUGCCAUCGGAUGUGCCCAGAUGGGAUUAGCUAGUAGGUGGGGUAACGGCUCACCUAGGCGACGAUCCCUAGCUGGUCUGAGAGGAUGACCAGCCACACUGGAACUGAGACACGGUCCAGACUCCUACGGGAGGCAGCAGUGGGGAAUAUUGCACAAUGGGCGCAAGCCUGAUGCAGCCAUGCCGCGUGUAUGAAGAAGGCCUUCGGGUUGUAAAGUACUUUCAGCGAGGAGGAAGGGUGUUGUGGUUAAUAACCGCAGCAAUUGACGUUACUCGCAGAAGAAGCACCGGCUAACUCCGUGCCAGCAGCCGCGGUAAUACGGAGGGUGCAAGCGUUAAUCGGAAUUACUGGGGCGUAAAGCGCACGCAGGCGGUCUGUCAAGUCGGAUGUGAAAUCCCCGAGCUCAACCUGGGAACUGCAUCCGAAACUGGCAGGCUAGAGUCUUUGUAAAGGGGGGGGUUAAGAUUCCAGGUGGUAGGCGGGUGAAAUGCCCGUAGAGAUCUGGAGGAAAUACCGGGUGGGCGGAAGGCGGGCCCCCCUGGACAAAGACUGACGCUCAGGUGCGAAAGGCGUGGGGGAGCAAACAGGAUAGAUAC